AUUGAACGCUAGCGGGAUGCUUUACACAUGCAAGUCGAACGGCAGCGCGGACUUCGGUCUGGCGGCGAGUGGCGAACGGGUGAGUAAUGUAUCGGAACGUGCCCAGUAGCGGGGGAUAACUACGCGAAAGCGUAGCUAAUACCGCAUACGCCCUACGGGGGAAAGCAGGGGAUCGUAAGACCUUGCACUAUUGGAGCGGCCGAUAUCGGAUUAGCUAGUUGGUGAGGUAACGGCUCACCAAGGCGACGAUCCGUAGCUGGUUUGAGAGGACGACCAGCCACACUGGGACUGAGACACGGCCCAGACUCCUACGGGAGGCAGCAGUGGGGAAUUUUGGACAAUGGGGGCAACCCUGAUCCAGUCAUCCCGCGUGUGCGAUGAAGGCCUUCGGGUUGUAAAGCACUUUUGGCAGGAAAGAAACGUCGCGGGCUAAUACCCCGUGGAACUGACGGUACCUGCAGAAUAAGCACCGGCUAACUACGUG
Molecule: ribosomal RNA, 484 nt
Filed under: uncultured bacterium
Lineage: Bacteria
Description: partial 16S ribosomal RNA
Rfam family: Bacterial small subunit ribosomal RNA
Source: RNAcentral